UUUUCUAUGAUCUCAAAAUGAACAAAAAUAAACACACUAUGUUGUUCACAGCCAAAGUACAGCAUAUCUAUCGAGCAUCAUACCUUUGCAAUAAAAGGGCUUUCACAUGAUGCUAUACCAGAAACGGAAUUUUCACAAAAGACCAUCUUUGAGGAUUUGAUUGAUUUUCAGAAAAUAUAAGAAAUACAAAAUGUGCGGGAAAUUGAAGGUUGAAGAAGAUGUGGUCGAUGAAUAGAGGUGUAGAAAUAACAAUUGAAGUUGCUUUUACUUAGAGACGACUGUUGCUGGCUCUCACAGUACGGAUUACGCCAUCAAAAUUCAAAAGAAUGAUUGGAAGUUGCUUUGAUCUAGAGACGACCUUCACAAUACGGCAGAGAGACCUGGUCCUUAAGUUGCUUAUGUUUUCUCAUACCUAUACUACG
This 422-nucleotide long non-coding RNA is filed under the name Eutrema salsugineum. RNAcentral's name for it is "long non-coding RNA (ESAL_LNC000064)". Lineage: Eukaryota; Viridiplantae; Streptophyta; Magnoliopsida; Brassicales; Brassicaceae. The record is from RNAcentral.